AAAGGAAUUGACGGGAGCCCGCACAAGCGGUGGAUUAUGUGGUUUAAUUCGAAGCAACGCGCAGAACCUUACCUAGGUUUGACAUCCUUUGACAACUAGAGAGAUCUAGCUUUUGUAGCAAUACAACAAAGUGACAGGUGCUGCAUGGCUGUCGUCAGCUCGUGUGGUGGCAUGUCGGGUUAAGUCCCUCAACGAGCGCAACCCCUAUCUUUAGUUGCCAGCAUUAAGUUGGGCACUCUAGAGAGACUGCCGUGGUUAACACGGAGGAAGGCGGGGAUGACGUCAAGUCCUCAUGGCCCUUACAUCUAGGGCGACACACGUAAUACAAUGGUCGAUACAGAGGGAUGCGAAAUGGUGACAUGGAGCAAAUCUCAAAAAGUCGAUCUCAGUUCGGAUUAGAGUCUGCAACUCGACUCUAUGAAGGUGGAAUCGCUAGUAAUCGCGGAUCAGCACGCCGCGGUGAAUACGUUCCCGGGCUUUGUACACACCGCCCGU
This 495-nucleotide ribosomal RNA is filed under the name uncultured bacterium. Its description in RNAcentral is "bacterial SSU rRNA". It matches the Rfam family "Bacterial small subunit ribosomal RNA", at positions 903 to 1397 of the family's 1533-position model. The record is from RNAcentral.